AAAAACAUCGCCUCCUGCAAAAUUCAACGUAUAGGAGGUCCUGCCUGCCCAGUGACAUCCAGUUAAACGGCCGCGGUAUUUUGACCGUGCUAAGGUAGCGCAAUCACUUGUCUUUUAAAUGAGGACCUGUAUGAAUGGCGGAACGAGGGCUUAACUGUCUCCUUUCUCCAGUCAAUGAAAUUGAUCUGCCCGUGCAGAAGCGGGCAUAACCAUACAAGACGAGAAGACCCUUUGGAGCUUAAGAUAAAAGACCAAUCUUCGGUUGGGGCGACCACGGGGGAAAAUGAAGCCCCCACGCAGAAUACUAAACCAAGAGGGACACCUCUAAGUCACAGAACAUCUGACCCCGAUCAACGGACCAAGUUACCCUAGGGAUAACAGCGCAAUCCCCUCCAAGAGUUCAUAUCGACAAGGGGGUUUACGACCUCGAUGUUGGAUCAGGACAUCCUAAUGGUGCAGCCGCUAUUAAGGGUUCGUUUGUUCAACGAUUAAAGUCCUACGUGAUCUGA
This 509-nucleotide ribosomal RNA is filed under the name Myleus schomburgkii (disk tetra). Its description in RNAcentral is "partial 16S ribosomal RNA". It matches the Rfam family "Bacterial large subunit ribosomal RNA", at positions 1809 to 2608 of the family's 2925-position model. The record is from RNAcentral. Lineage: Eukaryota; Metazoa; Chordata; Actinopteri; Characiformes; Serrasalmidae.